This 465-nucleotide ribosomal RNA is filed under the name Vreelandella stevensii. RNAcentral's name for it is "partial 16S ribosomal RNA". It matches the Rfam family "Bacterial small subunit ribosomal RNA", at positions 338 to 795 of the family's 1533-position model. The record is from RNAcentral. Lineage: Bacteria; Pseudomonadati; Pseudomonadota; Gammaproteobacteria; Oceanospirillales; Halomonadaceae.
CCUACGGGUGGCUGCAGUGGGGAAUAUUGGACAAUGGGGGGAACCCUGAUCCAGCCAUGCCGCGUGUGUGAAGAAGGCCCUCGGGUUGUAAAGCACUUUCAGUGAGGAAGAACGCCUGGUGGUUAAUACCCAUCAGGAAAGACAUCACUCACAGAAGAAGCACCGGCUAACUCCGUGCCAGCAGCCGCGGUAAUACGGAGGGUGCGAGCGUUAAUCGGAAUUACUGGGCCUAAAGCGCGCGUAGGUGGCUUGAUAAGCCGGUUGUGAAAGCCCCGGGCUCAACCUGGGAACGGCAUCCGGAACUGUCAAGCUAGAGUGCAGGAGAGGAAGGUAGAAUUCCCGGUGUAGCGGUGAAAUGCGUAGAGAUCGGGAGGAAUACCAGUGGCGAAGGCGGCCUUCUGGACUGACACUGACACUGAGGUGCGAAAGCGUGGGUAGCAAACAGGAUUAGAUACCCUAGUAGUC